RNAcentral lists this ribosomal RNA (400 nucleotides) under uncultured Limnohabitans sp. Its description in RNAcentral is "bacterial SSU rRNA". It matches the Rfam family "Bacterial small subunit ribosomal RNA", at positions 1 to 410 of the family's 1533-position model. Lineage: Bacteria; Pseudomonadati; Pseudomonadota; Betaproteobacteria; Burkholderiales; Comamonadaceae. The record is from RNAcentral.
CGCUGAGUUUGAUCCUGGCUCAGAUUGAACGCUGGCGGAAUGCUUUACACAUGCAAGUCGAACGGUAGAGGGGGCAACCCCUUGAGAGUGGCGAACGGGUGAGUAAUAUAUCGGAACGUGCCCAGUCGUGGGGGAUAACGUAGCGAAAGUUACGCUAAUACCGCAUACGAUCUAAGGAUGAAAGCGGGGGAUCGCAAGACCUCGCGCGAUUGGAGCGGCCGAUAUCAGAUUAGGUAGUUGGUGGGGUAAAGGCCCACCAAGGCGACGAUCUGUAGCUGGUCUGAGAGGACGACCAGCCACACUGGGGACUGAGACACGGCCCAGACUCCUACGGGAGCAGCAGUGGGGAAUUUUGGACAAUGGGCGCAAGCCUGAUCCAGCAAUGCCCGCGUGCAGGAAG